Molecule: non-coding RNA, 233 nt
Organism: Plectropomus leopardus (leopard coralgrouper)
Lineage: Eukaryota; Metazoa; Chordata; Actinopteri; Perciformes; Serranidae
Source: RefSeq, a predicted model, not a curated record
UCUUCCUCUUCCUCAUCCUCAUCUUCAUCCUCCAGUGAUGAGGGGUGAUGCUUCCUGUGGGGGCCGGACUGCUCUCGUUGUCUCUCAUGAUCUUGUCUGUUAACAAAAUGUGUGGUUAAGUGUGUAGUAGUAUCAUCUUUUCUUCCUGUCUUUUCAUUGGUGUCACAGAAAAAUGCUGGUCUUGUCUAAACAGAUGUGCUCAUCUAGUGAGGUAAAUCAACAAAAUGCCUGCA